AACCUUUGGAAGGAAUUUUAAGACUUAAUGGUGAAAAGUGUUGUAGAAGUGUUAGAUACUAUUAAAGGUGUUCAGAAUUUUCAUGUUUAAUUUAAAAAUAUAACAGUUCAGACAUUAGAAAUUAGGGUGGUACUGAUAACUUCAGAUCCUGUGUCAAGCAGUGUUUUUAUUUUCCAGAAUGGAAAAUUCUUCAGUAUGUGAAUUCUGCAGUAUGUGAAUUGCAGUUUUGUUUUCCAAAAAAAGGAAAAAGCUUUUGAACUUUAAUACCCUGAGAACAUGUUUAAAGGAGUCAGAAAUCCAUCCCUUCCAUUGGAACAGUUCUCUACUGUGUAAUGGAGAUUGAGAAAUGCAGAGAAAACUGUGGAUUGUCCCAGGUAGCACAGCUCAUCUUGGCUGGGCUGGCUAUUCAUUUCUUGGAGCCUGGGCUGUCUGUGCAUCACCAGGGCACAAUGUGCUGAUUUCCUCUAGCAAGACAGUGAGGUGAGUUGUUGUUCUAAAU
This 499-nucleotide long non-coding RNA is filed under the name Ficedula albicollis (Collared flycatcher). Its description in RNAcentral is "lncRNA (ENSFALG00000023283.1)". Lineage: Eukaryota; Metazoa; Chordata; Aves; Passeriformes; Muscicapidae. The record is from RNAcentral.